GUGUUAGAAGUCUAACUGUAAUAGAAGUCUAGUCUAAACUGUAUUAGGAGUAGGCUAGGUUAUGUGUAUUAUAUAUAGAGCUCAUUGUAUCAUGUUUAUAUAUCAAUUAUAUAUUCUUCUCCCGUGCCUUCUCACAUGGUAUCAGAGUUUUGGUGAGAAUAGUAUAGCUGUGCAUCAUUCCAGCUACUUCCGGGAAGAAGACCUCGUCGCC
Molecule: long non-coding RNA, 211 nt
Filed under: Nicotiana benthamiana
Lineage: Eukaryota; Viridiplantae; Streptophyta; Magnoliopsida; Solanales; Solanaceae
Description: long non-coding RNA (NBEN_LNC031292)
Source: RNAcentral